Molecule: ribosomal RNA, 289 nt
Filed under: uncultured Prevotella sp.
Lineage: Bacteria; Pseudomonadati; Bacteroidota; Bacteroidia; Bacteroidales; Prevotellaceae
Description: partial 16S ribosomal RNA
Rfam family: Bacterial small subunit ribosomal RNA
Source: RNAcentral
AAGUCGAACGAGAGGACAAGAGAAGCUUGCUUCUUUUGGAAUCGAGUGGCAAACGGGUGAAUAACACGUAAACAACCUGCCCACCACUUGGGGAUAACCUUGCGAAAGUAAGACUAAUACCCAAUGACGUCUCUAGAAGACAUCUGAAAGAGAUUAAAGAUUUAUCGGUGAUGGAUGGGGAUGCGUCUGAUUAGCUUGUUGGCGGGGUAACGGCCCACCAAGGCAACGAUCAGUAGGGGUUCUGAGAGGGUGAACGGCCACAUUGGAACUGAGACACGGUCCAAACUCC